GACGAACGCUGGCGGCGUGCUUAACACAUGCAAGUCGAACGAUGAAGCUGGAGCUUGCUCCGGUGGAUUAGUGGCGAACGGGUGAGUAACACGUGAGCAAUCUGCCCUUGACUCUGGGAUAACUGCGGGAAACUGUAGCUAAUACCGGAUACUUUCCUUGGUGGGCAUCCACUGGGGAAGAAAGAAUUUCGGUCAAGGAUGAGCUCGCGGCCUAUCAGCUAGUUGGUGAGGUAAUGGCUCACCAAGGCGACGACGGGUAGCCGGCCUGAGAGGGUGACCGGCCACACUGGAACUGAGACACGGUCCAGACUCCUACGGGAGGCAGCAGUGGGGAAUAUUGCACAAUGGGCGAAAGCCUGAUGCAGCAACGCCGCGUGAGGGACGAAGGCCUUCGGGUUGUAAACCUCUUUUAGCAGGGAAGAAGCGAAAGUGACGGUACCUGCAGAAAAAGCAC
RNAcentral lists this ribosomal RNA (454 nucleotides) under bacterium Fw70-7. RNAcentral describes it as "bacterial SSU rRNA". It matches the Rfam family "Bacterial small subunit ribosomal RNA", at positions 28 to 493 of the family's 1533-position model. The record is from RNAcentral.